This 492-nucleotide ribosomal RNA is filed under the name uncultured bacterium. Its description in RNAcentral is "partial 16S ribosomal RNA". It matches the Rfam family "Bacterial small subunit ribosomal RNA", at positions 29 to 507 of the family's 1533-position model. The record is from RNAcentral.
AGUGAACGCUGGCGGUAGGCCUAACGCAUGCAAGUCGAACGGCAGCACAGUAAGAGCUUGCUCUUACGGGUGGCGAGUGGCGGACGGGUGAGGAAUACAUCGGAAUCUACUUUUUCGUGGGGGAUAACGUAGGAAAACUUACGCUAAUACCGCAUACGACCUACGGGUGAAAGCAGGGGAUCUUCGGACCUUGCGCGAUUGAAUGAGCCGAUGUCGGAUUAGCUAGUUGGCGGGGUAAAGGCCCACCAAGGCGACGAUCCGUAGCUGGUCUGAGAGGAUGAUCAGCCACACUGGAACUGAGACACGGUCCAGACUCCUACGGGAGGCAGCAGUGGGGAAUAUUGGACAAUGGGCGCAAGCCUGAUCCAGCCAUACCGCGUGGGUGAAGAAGGCCUUCGGGUUGUAAAGCCCUUUUGUUGGGAAAGAAAAGCAGCAGGUUAAUACCCCGCUGUUCUGACGGUACCCAAAGAAUAAGCACCGGCUAACUUCGUG